UGGACAGUCAUGGCUUUUGCUGGCAGCACUUUAUUAUGUCACAUGCCUCACAGUGUAAUGGUGUCAAAAUAUGGGCACAGAGAGAAGAAAAGCAUUAAAUAGACCAACAUGAAGCACAGAGUAGCUGUGGUUUUCACACAGAACGAGCAGAGGCAGAUGCUGCUACAACCUAGAUGAUGUUUUCUGUCAUGUCAUUUCCAUGCAUUGCGUGAGUACCCCCUGCCACUUCCCUCAUUGUCUGGUGAAGACAAAACUCCAAAAGAAGCAACAUUUAUGCUACUUGCAUUACUGUGAUGAAC
This 299-nucleotide long non-coding RNA is filed under the name Calidris pygmaea (Spoon-billed sandpiper). RNAcentral describes it as "lncRNA (ENSCPGG00000012111.1)". The record is from RNAcentral. Lineage: Eukaryota; Metazoa; Chordata; Aves; Charadriiformes; Scolopacidae.